Molecule: long non-coding RNA, 2778 nt
Filed under: Olea europaea subsp. europaea
Lineage: Eukaryota; Viridiplantae; Streptophyta; Magnoliopsida; Lamiales; Oleaceae
Source: RNAcentral
AUCGAAGUCCCAACCAGACUGAACUGAUCAAGCUGUUGAAACAUGUGGUUCAGCUGUCUUUGUAUAAUUUGAUACUACACUGUAUAGAUUUCAUCUAAAACAAAGUGUUUUAUUGCAUUUUGUUAAUUAGGAUUUAGAAAAUUUUCUGAAUGGCGGCGGUCACACAAGGGCUUGGAGCUACAGCGGCUCUUUCAUCAGCCAAUUCCGAGAAAUUUCAGCUCACUACUCGCAGAUCGCUCUCAGGUUUGUGGAAUUACUGAUCCAGUUUCCUUUACAAUGUGAAUUUGGUUUAUUCUGCUUUGAUUUGAUAUGGAUCUUGUUUAUUUUACUCAGCUGUUUGUUCUUUUGGGGUUUCACAUUUUUUCAGUUUUAUUUGUUAUUGUGAUUAUGAAAUCUACCCCCCUCCCCUCUUCGAUUGUUCAUGUGAGGUGUUUUAAUUAGUAAUUUAGUUUCAACAUCGACUUGUCCGAAUUCUGUAAUCUCAAAGUUCGAAAUUGGUUUUGUAGAUUUGUUCAAAUGGAUAUUCAUCGUUGUUUGUGUUGUGAAAUUCCGGAGUUUUAUAGUUUAAUUGGAUUAACUUACUUCCCAAUAUUCUAGUCUUGUGGAAGUUGCAAUAGGUGUCUUUUAUGGUGUACCGGUGACAACAAGUAUGCUAAUUAUUUGGUUUUGAUGUUAAAUUUGUUCUUAUGUUUGUUUCAGGGAGGAAAAGAAGAUUCUUUAUUUUUGAAUCCAAUGGAAAUCCGAGAUCCGGUUUGAAUCGGCAAAUCAACAGAACCAGACAAUUUUUUACUAAUGCAGUAGCAGUUAGUUUCUGACCUCUUCUUCUGUGGAUGUGUCGACACGUAUUAUACUUCUAAGUUCUAUCAUGUCAAUUAUGUCAAGAUCUUUUUUGAUAUUCAAUUGCGUAACUAUCGUUUCUUAAGAUUGUCUCUUGGUAAAAGUUUUUAAUUUUUAUUGCAGACAAAGCCAGAUAGUGCAGCAGCUUCAACUCUAUCCAAGCAUGGGUAUGCUUCUCCUCCCAAUUUAUAUGUAUAUGCAAGUGUUGAUGGUUGAAAUUGGUUUUUGCUAAAUUAAUCCUAUGUCAUUUUAGCUAACAUUAGGAAAUUUUUAUUUAUCUUUCCUUAUAGAGUAGAUUGAAGUUGAAAACUUUGCCAAAGUUUCUUUUUUUGUUAGAUGAGGAAUGUAGACACAGUCCUGUCUUCUUCAGUGUUAUGUUACGAUUGGUUCAGCUGUUCCAUAUGGAACCUUUUAGGUUGAUUUAUCUAGUUGAGUUCAUUGUAGAGCACUUUCUAUCUCACUUCAAAUUAACAAGUUAUUUGUCAGCCAUUGUAUCUAAUUUAACAAGUGUUUUCUACUUCUCUUAGAUUGACCAUAUGCCACAUCAUAUUCGAUUCCUUUUUGCAUAUAAUAUUCAUUAGUACCUGCAUUGUUAUCCUACAGUAAAAUUAGUGAUAUUUGAUUUCUUCAUUAGGCAUGAGCUUUUGCUUUUUGAAGCUCUCCGUGAAGGCCUUGAAGAAGAAAUGGACAGAGAUCCUUACGUCUGUGUUAUGGGUGAAGAUGUGGGUCAUUAUGGAGGUUCAUACAAGGUGACCAAAGGGUUGGCAGAUAAGUACGGUGAUCUCAGGGUUCUUGACACUCCCAUUGCUGAAAACUCCUUCACCGGCAUGGCCAUUGGAGCUGCCAUGACUGGCUUGCGUCCCGUUGUUGAGGGAAUGAACAUGGGAUUUCUCCUUCUGGCUUUUAACCAAAUCUCGAACAACUGUGGUAUGCUCCACUACACAUCUGGUGGUCAGUUUAAGAUACCAGUUGUCAUCCGUGGGCCUGGUGGAGUGGGACGACAGCUUGGAGCAGAGCACUCACAACGCCUUGAGUCUUAUUUCCAGUCAAUACCCGGAAUUCAGAUGGUGGCAUGCUCAACCCCAUACAAUGCUAAAGGUUUGAUGAAGGCAGCUAUCAGAAGCGAGAAUCCCGUGAUUCUUUUUGAGCACGUUUUGCUUUACAACCUCAAAGAGAGGAUUCCAGAUGAAGAGUACGUAUUGAAUCUUGAGGAAGCUGAGAUGGUUAGGCCAGGUGAGCACAUCACUAUUUUAACUUACUCCAGAAUGAGGUACCACGUGAUGCAGGCUGCGAAAACUUUGGUCAACAAAGGAUAUGAUCCUGAAGUCAUUGAUAUCAGAUCAUUGAAGCCAUUUGAUCUUUACACCAUUGGGAAUUCUGUGAAGAAAACUCAUCGUGUGGUAAUUGUAGAGGAGUGCAUGCGCACAGGUGGAAUUGGUGCCAGCUUGACGGCUUCGAUUAAUGAAAAUUUCCAUGAUUAUUUGGAUGCCCCAAUUGUAUGUUUGUCUUCACAGGACGUGCCAACUCCAUAUGCUGCAUCACUGGAGGAAUGGACUGUCGUCCAGCCUGCACAAAUUGUAGCUGCGGUUGAACAGCUUUGCCAAUAGUUGGAUUGACAAGUAUGGUGAAGACAGGACAGACUGAUUUUCCAGCAUGUACUAUCGUGAUUCAUGGCCUAUUUUGACGUUACUAUCUACUGUCAAAUUUUUGUUACAAAGUUUAGGUCUCUUGACUUGCACGUAUUAGUUGAGUUGAGAAUUAUUGUUUCUAUGUUGUUUUACUUGACCGUGACAGAAACUGUGAUUUUGUUCUUGAACCAAAUUUACUUUCGCAUCUGUUGUAACUGAGAACUCUUAUCUUGAUCAUAUUUAAAUAAAGUUUUCUUGUUCAAAUGGAUCUGCAGCAGGAAAAUGUAGUUGAGAUUGUGGAUUUGUGCAUCUU